GGAUUUUUGUCCCCGCCGCCACGGCUCUGAGGGCGGGAGCGGCAGACUCGGCUGCCAGCUCUACUGGCGUCCUGGCAAGGGCAGCGCUGAGGGGUGCUCCUGGUCCAGCUCUCCUGGCUCAGGGAUUCCUUGCCUAGGCGCCGGCGCCCCAGGCUCCUUGCCUAGGCCCCUGUGGCCUGCAUAGAGUGGCGCUGCCUGUGGAGGCGAUGGGAGAGAAGAAGGAGGGCGGUGGUGGGGGUGAUGCGGCGGCCACGGAGGGUGGCACAGGGGCUGCGGCCAGCCGGGCGCUGCAGCAGUGCGGGCAGCUCCAGAAGCUCAUCGUCAUCUUCAUUGGCAGCCUGUGCGGGCUGUGCACCAAGUGCGCUGUGUCCAACGACCUCACCCAGCAGGAGAUACAGACCCCGGAGGUGAGGAAACCGAAGGCCUGAGGGAGAAAUGACUUGCCAGGAACCCCUGUUAAGGAAAAUUAACAAAGUGUGGUUAUUAAAGAAGAACUGAGUUGGGAGUCAGACCUGGAGGCCCGCACCCGUGGUUAAGACAUUAUACCACCUUGAGUCUGGCCUGUUGACUGAGGAUACAACAGAGAAAUGCAUAAUGUCCAGUCAAUUUAUUAAAGUUCCAAAGUCGGUCGCGCGCAGUGGCUCACGCCUGUAAUCUCAACACUUCGGGAGGCCGAGGCGUGUGGAUCACGAGAUUUCAAUAUGAUUAAAGCAGGAGUGAGGACACAGCGAAAGUGAGACAAGGAAAAGAGAACAAAAUAAAACAGGAAAGACAGAAAAGCCAAUACCACACGUGUUAAGAGUUUCAAGGAAAAUAUGUUGGGAGUUCCUGGCAUAGAGAAUGUCACAAAGACAUGUUUUCAAUAGUAGUGCUAUCCCGAGGGCAGAGAAGACCCAGAGAAAGCCCAAGUGGCUGCUGGAACAAAAUCAGACACCGUGCCACCUGUCCACACUCCUUGGCUCUGCCAUCAUGCUGAAGAUCGCUUUAAAGGACUGGCUUCCCUCCCCCCAAAAUUAAAAGAGCACAGACUGAGAAACUGAAUGUGGGAGACAGCAGUGGAUUAUGCUGUUCUCAGGGGUCACCUCAGGUUUGGAAGCAUUCUUUCAAAUUAACCCAUCUCAGGCCAUCUGCAGAGAAGAAAGGUGGUACCUAACUUUUUUUCUUGUCGGCAUUUGGUAGGGGUGUUUUAUUGACCAAAUAUGUUCCCACAACCUAGUUUUUUGUGACUAACUAAAUAUAGUAGAGUUUUAAAUUUUAUCAUCAAAAUCUAUAGACAAUUUUUGAUGAAAAUAGACUCCAUCUCUAUGUCCUGCUUUUCUUCUUCUUAUUAAUUACAUUGCUGUAUAAAAGAACAAGACUUCAGCAUCAAGAAUAUCUUGUCUCUUGGCAUUGAAUUUAUACAAGGUGCUCUUUCUUUAAUGCUGUCUCAAAGGACAUAUUUUUACUCAUUAAAAAGGAAGAUCGGAAUCUAGUUGUAUGCACUGCUCCAACAUAUUAAUAAUUAAAAUUAGGAGGUAAAUGUGGUCAAAGCUAUAGAAAGACUGAGAUGUCAUUUAUAUGGAUUACUCUAUAGCACUCUACAAACAGAAAUUGUUAAAUAAUAGUUUAUAUAAAUAUUUUGUAGCAUUUCAAAUAUUUGAGUGCUUGAAGUUUCUCCUCUUCUAUAGUUCAGAUUAUCAAUUUGAAGACUUACUCCGCUAGUUAAUAUGUUUUUAGUCUCGUUUGAGUAUUAUAUAAAAGCAAUUUUCAGUUAAAUGUGUUCCGCUUACAUAAAACGUUACAAAUUAUUGAGGAUUUAAUUACUUAUUCAUGUUCCUGUAAUGUCUUUAGAAGAUUUUCUUAUUAUUACCUAUCAAUAUAUGUAUGCUUUGUCAAAGAAAAAUCAAACAUAUAUAUCAUUGAAAUUGAAACUUUUUAAAAGUACUUA
This 1927-nucleotide long non-coding RNA is filed under the name Homo sapiens (human). Its description in RNAcentral is "HSALNT0295247". The record is from RNAcentral. Lineage: Eukaryota; Metazoa; Chordata; Mammalia; Primates; Hominidae.